UACGAAGGGUGCAAGCGUUGUUCGGAAUUAUUGGGCGUAAAGGGUUCGUAGGCGGGAACUCAAGUCAAGUGUGAAAUCCUCGGGCUUAACCUGAGACGUGCAUUUGAAACUGGGUUUCUUGAGUGUCAGAGAGGGUAGUGGAAUUGCUGGUGUAGGAGUGACAUCCGUAGAGAUCAGCAGGAACACCGGAGGCGAAGGCGACUGCCUGGCUGACAACUGACGCUGAGGAACGAAAGCGUGGGGAGCAAACAGG
Molecule: ribosomal RNA, 253 nt
Filed under: uncultured prokaryote
Description: partial 16S ribosomal RNA
Rfam family: Bacterial small subunit ribosomal RNA
Source: RNAcentral